AACAAAUCAACGACGCGGAGUAAGUACCGUCAACACUGCCGACAAAGCGAGUCAGGAAAGGUGAGAGCCUGACGCGGUAAGCUGAUUAGGGAAUGGACCGCUGAGAGCCUGUUGAACGAUUGCAGUAGACAGGACGGUUGCCCCCGUUACAAGGCUAGCUGGUUGUUGGACCAGCGACAAGAGGAGAUUUUUAAUCUCAACUAGAGGUGGCACCGCGCGGAUACAGGCGUCCUCUAU
RNAcentral lists this non-coding RNA (237 nucleotides) under Exiguobacterium oxidotolerans. Its description in RNAcentral is "T-box". It matches the Rfam family "T-box leader". Rfam says of the family: Uncharged tRNA acts as the effector for transcription antitermination of genes in the T-box leader family. T-boxes are found upstream of many aminoacyl-tRNA synthetase genes and some amino acid biosynthetic genes usually in Gram-positive bacteria. RNAcentral also lists the same sequence under 1 other name. The record is from RNAcentral. Lineage: Bacteria; Bacillati; Bacillota; Bacilli; Caryophanales.